This 256-nucleotide ribosomal RNA is filed under the name uncultured Gardnerella sp. RNAcentral's name for it is "partial 16S ribosomal RNA". It matches the Rfam family "Bacterial small subunit ribosomal RNA", at positions 99 to 354 of the family's 1533-position model. Lineage: Bacteria; Bacillati; Actinomycetota; Actinomycetes; Bifidobacteriales; Bifidobacteriaceae. The record is from RNAcentral.
CGAACGGGUGAGUAAUGCGUGACCAACCUGCCCCAUGCUCCAGAAUAGCUCUUGGAAACGGGUGGUAAUGCUGGAUGCUCCAACUUGACGCAUGUCUUGUUGGGAAAGUGUUUAGUGGCAUGGGAUGGGGUCGCGUCCUAUCAGCUUGUAGGCGGGGUAAUGGCCCACCUAGGCUUCGACGGGUAGCCGGCCUGAGAGGGCGGACGGCCACAUUGGGACUGAGACACGGCCCAAACUCCUACGGGAGGCAGCAGGU